GUCCGGGUGGCGAAAUGGUAGACGCGCUAGCUUGAGGGGCUAGUCCUCUUACGAGGGUGAGGGUUCAAGUCCCUUCCCGGACACAA
Molecule: transfer RNA, 86 nt
Filed under: Microbacteriaceae bacterium BACL28 MAG-120531-bin53
Lineage: Bacteria; Bacillati; Actinomycetota; Actinomycetes; Micrococcales; Microbacteriaceae
Also listed under: 1 other name
Description: tRNA-Leu
Rfam family: tRNA
About the family: Transfer RNA (tRNA) molecules are approximately 80 nucleotides in length.
Source: RNAcentral